UCCCCUUCCCUCCGCUCCUUUCCUCCAGGCCGAGCCCCUUUCCCAGCUCCCUCAGCCCCUCCUGGCGCUCCGGGGCACGGGGAAGAAGCUUUUUUGCUCCAGCAGAGAUUUUCCUUCUCCCUCUGGGCUGUUGUGGCCUGGGGUCCGUCAGGGGUGGAUCCAGGACAAGCCCCAGGCUGUGCUGGCACGCCCGGCCUUGGUUUGGCGUUUAACCCAAACUCCUGAGGCGCUGGGAUGGCACCACCGGGAUUUUGGGUCCACGGGAGCUUCGGAACCAUCGACUCACCCCUGUUUUAAGGCGAAUCUCCGCAGCUCCAGGGCUGUGCCAGCGUUUGGGAGAACGAGAGUAGCCCGGGCUCGGUGCUGGACCCUGCUGCUUGACAAGGCGAAGUUUGGUCAAAGGCUGCACUCGAUGAUCUCCGAGGUUUUUCCGAUCCCAGCGAUCCCGGGAUUCCUCAGGGCUCUCUGCCAUCCUGCUCCUGUCCAGCGAGGCCAAAUUCUCACCGUGACACAACAGCAGCCUAAGCAGGGUACCGCAGCUGUCACAGCUCGGCCUUCCCGGGGCAAUUAAGGACAAAACCCCGGUGCAGCUUCCCACCAGGAUAAUUUGACAGCUCGUUCACAGGCCAGGAGUGCGGCUGAGCCCAAACUUUCCGGCCAUUGCUUUUGCGUUGGGCAGGAGCAACGAUGAAUUUUGCUUUUCUCUUUUUAUGUUCCUUCCCCUGCGUGUGCAAACCUGCAAAAAUGCUCCUCUCCCUCUCCCUCUUCCUCUCCCUCUCCCCUCUUUUCCACCACAGUUUUCCAGCUCCAAAGGAGAGGAAUCAGCAGGGAAGGGAUGGUUAAAUCCUUGUGUUUUCCUGUUUAGAUCCGGGGAUAUUCAGCUCUCCUCAGGACAGGAAUCUGAGGAAAGGGUGAUUAAAUCCCUUUAAAACCCUCGUGUUUAGCUGUUUCUGUCUGUAGCCAAGGAAAUGUUUUUCCUCUUUCCCAGAAGGAAGUUUUCCCUUGAGGAAGUGGGAGGGGAUGGCACCGAGGGAGCUCCUGGUUGUUUUUCACAAGGUUCUGCUGCAAAAUUGAACCUGAUCAGGAGAAAUUCUCACCAAGCUCCCAGAACUGCUCUGUCUGAUGAAAUCUCCCAUCAGAGCUCUUGGACUCCCCUCUGCUGAGUUUAUUUCACACUGUCCUUGCACACAGAUGUUUAUUCCAACUCUUCACAUGAUGCAAACCCCCUCCCAUUCCUGCUUUUUCUGCCAAAUACCUUCCAAACUUCCUGGCUCCUUGCUCAGCCCUGCUGUAAAUCAGCACAGCCAAUAAAUUCAUAAUUGCUUGUGCACAACAA
Molecule: long non-coding RNA, 1336 nt
Organism: Parus major (Great Tit)
Lineage: Eukaryota; Metazoa; Chordata; Aves; Passeriformes; Paridae
Exons: 3
Source: RefSeq, a predicted model, not a curated record